GGAGUCGGCCCGAUAAUCGCUGGCGGGUUUUCCCGCUGGAGGAAAGUCCGGGCUCCAUAGGGCAGGGUGCCAGGUAACGCCUGGGCGGCGUGAGCCGACGGAAAGUGCCGCAGAAAAUACACCGCCGAUGGUCGCAAGACACAGGUAAGGGUGAAAUGGUGCGGUAAGAGCGCACCGCGCCCCUGGUAACAGGGGUGGCAGGGUAAACCCCACUCGGAGCAAGACCAAAUAGGGGAACAUUGGUGCGGCCCGCAUCGUUCCCGGGUAGGUCGCUUGAGGUGUGUGGUGACGCACAUCCCAGAUGAAUGAUUAUCCACGACAGAACCCGGCUUACAGGCCGACUCCACCC
RNAcentral lists this RNase P RNA (349 nucleotides) under Gammaproteobacteria bacterium. RNAcentral describes it as "RNase P RNA component class A". It matches the Rfam family "Bacterial RNase P class A". Rfam says of the family: Ribonuclease P (RNase P) is a ubiquitous endoribonuclease, found in archaea, bacteria and eukarya as well as chloroplasts and mitochondria. Its best characterised activity is the generation of mature 5'-ends of tRNAs by cleaving the 5'-leader elements of precursor-tRNAs. Cellular RNase Ps are ribonucleoproteins. The record is from RNAcentral. Lineage: Bacteria; Pseudomonadati; Pseudomonadota; Gammaproteobacteria.